CUUGUUUUAUAAGAAAAGACAUAUUAGUUACAAAUUUUUAUUUCUGAAAUAAUGUCGGAUAAUAAUGUAAAUAUUAUCCAGGAAAUAAAUAAAUUAAAUUUGGAGUUAAAAAGGAAAUUGGAAGUAGUCUCAAAAUGGAGAGUCGAAUGUGCUCAAUUGCAACUAGAAUUUCUAAAGUUGUACACUCCAGAAUGUCUUGAAAUUUUCGAAUCGCUUAAACAAAUGACUGACAUGAGUAUCGAUUCGAAUACUAAGUUUAAUAAUCCUUAAUUAUUAAAAAAUACUUUCUUAUUAAUGUACUAUCACGAUUUUCAAUAAACGAUAUGAGACAAUUA
Molecule: long non-coding RNA, 335 nt
Organism: Bombus terrestris (buff-tailed bumblebee)
Lineage: Eukaryota; Metazoa; Arthropoda; Insecta; Hymenoptera; Apidae
Exons: 2
Source: RefSeq, a predicted model, not a curated record